This 839-nucleotide ribosomal RNA is filed under the name Haptophyta environmental samples. RNAcentral describes it as "SSU rRNA". It matches the Rfam family "Eukaryotic small subunit ribosomal RNA", at positions 426 to 1270 of the family's 1831-position model. The record is from RNAcentral. Lineage: Eukaryota; Haptophyta.
CAGCAGGCGCGUAAAUUGCCCGAAUCCUGACACAGGGAGGUAGUGACAAGAGAUAACAAUACAGGGCUACUUCUAGUCUUGUAAUUGGAAUGAGUACAACUUACAUCUCUUCACGAGGAUCAAUUGGAGGGCAAGUCUGGUGCCAGCAGCCGCGGUAAUUCCAGCUCCAAUAGCGUAUAUUAAAGUUGUUGCAGUUAAAAAGCUCGUAGUCGGAUUUCGGGUCGGGCCGAGCGGUCUGCCGAUGGGUAUGCACUGUUUGGCGCGGCCUUCUUUCCGGAGACCGCGGCUACUCUUAACUGAGCGGGCGUGGGAGACGGAUCGUUUACUUUGAAAAAAUCAGAGUGUUUCUAGCAGGCAGCUCGCUCUUGCAUAGGUUAGCAUGGGAUAAUUUAAUAGGACUCUGGUGCUAUUUUGUUGGUUUCGAACACCGGAGUAAUGAUUAAAAGGGGCAGUCAGGGGCACUCGUAUUCCGUCGAGAGAGGUGAAAUUCUCAGACCAAUGGAAGACGAACCACUGCGAAAGCAUUUGCCAGGGAUGUUUUCACUGAUCAAGAACGAAAGUUAGGGGAUCGAAGACGAUCAGAUACCGUCGUAGUCUUAACCAUAAACCAUGCCGACUAGGGAUUGGAGGGUGUUCGUUUCGACCCCUUCAGCACCUUACGGGAAACUAAAGUCUUUGGGUUCCGGGGGGAGUAUGGUCGCAAGGCUGAAACUUAAAGGAAUUGACGGAAGGGCACCACCAGGAGUGGAGCCUGCGGCUUAAUUUGACUCAACACGGGGAAACUUACCAGGUCCAGACAUUGUUAGGAUUGACAGAUUGAGAGCUCUUUCUUGAUUCGA